Molecule: RNA transcript, 2688 nt
Organism: Limulus polyphemus (Atlantic horseshoe crab)
Lineage: Eukaryota; Metazoa; Arthropoda; Merostomata; Xiphosura; Limulidae
Gene name: neurolysin, mitochondrial-like
Exons: 18
Source: RefSeq, a predicted model, not a curated record
UAAAGAUAAAACAUAAUCUGAAUGCUUUAAGUAUUGUAAUCACGUGAUUCGGUUUUAGUUUAUGGAGCUGAAGCACGUUUAGAAACUUUAUGUUUCGGUGGGCGUCGUUGAUGUGGACCCAUUCUUUAGUCGUUCGUGUCUUUUGUUACCCAGUAAUCAGACUUUUUCGUGGAAGAUCUACUCUAAACUGGCUGAGACUACCCCUAUGUUCUGUUGAAGAACAAACCUGUUUAUUUGUUUCUUGUCAAUACAGCACAUUACUUCAGAGUAACCAAAGAAGUCAUAGCUUAUCAAAUCUACAGGGGACCGGUAAAGCUUUAUUUAAGUCAGAUUUGUCAUUCAAUACUUUCAGGUCUUUUUCCAAGAAUAUCUUACAAAAACAUUUUUUGCCUAGGCUAAAUUGUAAGGUUAACUUCUUUACCAACAUUGUCAGUGGUCGUACUACUAUGAGUAUAGAAGGUGUGAGGAUUGCUUGGGACUUAACUAUUUCUCCGAAUGAAUUGUUGACAAAAACCGAGUUACUUAUUUCUCAAUGUCGGAAAAAAUAUGAUGAAGUUGGCAACUUAAAAGAAGAGGAUGUGAAUUUUCAAUCUGUAUUAAAGGUGAUAGCAGAUGUAGAGUGUGAAUAUUUGUCAAAUCGCUACCUUUUUGACUUUCCACAACAAGUAUCAUCUGACAAAGCACUUAGGGAUGCCAGUACUGAAGCAGACAAAAAACUUCAAGCAUUUGAUGUUGAAAUAAGCAUGAGACAGGACAUAUUUGAUAAACUUCUGAUUCUGGAUAAGAAAACAGAAGAUUUGAAACCAGAAUAUAAACGAUAUUUAGAAAGACUAAUCAAAAUGGGAAAGAGAAAUGGGCUCCACUUGUCCAAAGAUAUACAAGAAAAGAUCAAAGAAUUCAAAAACAAGAUGAAUGAGCUUUCAAUUCAGUUUAAUAAAAACCUAAAUGAAGAAAAUACAUUUCUAGAAUUCACAGAGAAAGAAUUGGAGGGCUUACCAGAUGAUUUUAUUGAUAGUCUGGAAAAGAUGGACAAUGAAAAGCGGAAAAUCACCUUGAAAUAUCCACACUACUUUCCUACGAUGAGAAAAGCAAAAAAUCCUGAAACAAGAAGAAAAAUGGAACAUGCUUUCAACUCACAGUGUAUUUCAGAGAAUGUUCCAAUUCUUGAGGAACUAGUCAUGCUACGACAGAAGCAAGCUGAUCUCCUUGGAUUUCCAACACAUGCUGCUUACGUUACUGAGUUAAGAAUGGCCAAGACAGCUGAAAAUGUGUGCAACUUCCUCAAAGAACUAGCAACUAAAUUGAAAGUUUUGUGGGACAAUGAGAAAAAAUACCUUUUGGAGCUAAAGAAACUUGAAUGCAAAGAACUUGGAUUUGAGUUUGAUGAGAAACUGAAUUUUUGGGACCUGCAGUACUACACAACAAAAAUUGAAGAAAUAAAAUACUCAGUUGACCAGGACAAAUUAAGAGAAUAUUUUCCUCUUCCAAUUGUGACAAAAGGUUUACUGGAUAUAUAUCAGGAGCUGCUGAGUCUAAAGUUCUCAUUGGUGGAGAAUGCAAAAGUGUGGCACCCUGAUGUACAGAUGUUCAGUGUGUCAGAUUCUAAGUCAAAUCAGCUGUUGGGCUACUUUUUCCUUGAUCUUUUUCCACGAGAAGGAAAAUAUGGACAUGCUGCAAUGUUUGAGCUUCAGCCUGGGUGUUUGCUACCAGAUGGUUCAAGACAAAUAUCAGUAGCUGCUAUGGUAGCUAAUUUCACUAAGCCCACUGCAAAUAAGCCAUCUCUGUUAGAUCAUAAUGAGGUUGUGACAUUUUUCCAUGAAUUUGGACAUGUUAUGCAUCAAAUUUGUGCACAAGCAAACCUUGCACAUUUCAAUGGGACAAAUGUGGAAAGAGACUUUGUAGAAGCUCCUUCACAAAUGUUGGAAAACUGGUGUUGGGAGCCAGUUCCUCUACGGCGCAUGUCAUCUCAUUAUCGAGAUGAAACUCCACUGCCUGACACUAUGCUAAAAUCCCUAAUCAACUCUAGGCUGGCCAAUGCUGGUUAUCGUAAUUUGAGACAGAUUUUCCUUGGUCUUUUUGAUCAUACAAUUCAUACAAAACCUAAGGUUGACACAAGAGAAAUCCUAGAAGAAAUCCACUUGAACCUACUAGGGAUUAACUUAUCACCAAAUACUAACUUUGCAGCACAUUUUGGUCAUUUAGCUGGUGGUUAUGAUGCUCAGUAUUAUGGUUACAUGUGGAGUGAAGUGUUCAGCAUGGAUAUGUUUUACUCUCGUUUCAAAAAAGAAGGUGUAAUGAACCCAGAUACUGGUAGAGACUACAGAGAGAAAAUUCUCCAACCUGGAGGGACACAAGAUGGAGCAGAAAUGCUGCACAACUUCCUAGGAAGAGAUCCCAACCAGCAAGCUUUCCUUGUCAGUAAAGGUAUUGAUGUGUAACAGGAAAUCAUAAGUUGGAUGUCUCUGAAUUAUUAGUGAUGACACAAAUUGUUACUCCUCAUGUAUGGAAUUGGAAUCCUUGUACUUGACAGUCUGGUACGAGAUCUCAACUGAAUAAAGAACAGGAUCUGGAAGAAUAAGCAGUUGAAAGAACUUGGUGAAAAUUGCAUUCCAGUAUAUUAAAAAUUCUGAACAGGUACAUAAACAAUGUGUUUCAUUAUAUAAUAAAGGUUGUGCAUUUUGUGUUUCA